Molecule: ribosomal RNA, 514 nt
Filed under: uncultured bacterium
Lineage: Bacteria
Description: bacterial SSU rRNA
Rfam family: Archaeal small subunit ribosomal RNA
Source: RNAcentral
AGUAAAUAGAUACCCGGGUAGUCCCAGCUGUAAACGAUGCUAGCUAGGUGUUGGGUCGGCCACGCGCCGCCCCAGUGCCGCAGGGAAGCCGUUAAGCUAGCCGCCUGGGGAGUACGGCCGCAAGGCUGAAACUUAAAGGAAUUGGCGGGGGAGCACCACCAGGCGUGAAGCCUGCGGUUUAAUUGGAGUCAACGCCGGAAAUCUUACCGGGAUCGACAGCAGAAUGAAGGCCAGGUUGAAGGUCUUGCUAGACGAGCUGAGAGGAGGUGCAUGGCCAUCGCCAGUUCGUGCCGUGAGGUGUCCUCUUAAGUGAGGUAACGAACGAGACCCCCACCCAUGUUGCCAUCAGGAUCUAAAGGAUCGCUGGGCACUCUUGGGGGUACCGCUGCCGACAAGGCUGAGGAAGGUGGGGGUCCACGGUAGGUCAGUAUGCCCCGAAUAUCCCGGGCCACACGCGGGCUGCAAUGGUAGGGACAGAGGGCUGCAACAUCGAGAGAUGGAGCCAAUCCCUAAA